RNAcentral lists this ribosomal RNA (468 nucleotides) under uncultured bacterium. Its description in RNAcentral is "partial 16S ribosomal RNA". It matches the Rfam family "Bacterial small subunit ribosomal RNA", at positions 355 to 835 of the family's 1533-position model. The record is from RNAcentral.
UGGGGAAUAUUGCACAAUGGGCGAAAGCCUGAUGCAGCGACGCCGCGUGCGGGAUGAAGGCCUUCGGGUUGUAAACCGCUUUUGAUUGGGAGCAAGCGAGAGUGAGUGUACCUUUCGAAUAAGCACCGGCUAACUACGUGCCAGCAGCCGCGGUAAUACGUAGGGUGCAAGCGUUAUCCGGAAUUAUUGGGCGUAAAGAGCUCGUAGGCGGUUUGUCGCGUCUGGUGUGAAAGUCCAUCGCUUAACGGUGGAUCUGCGCCGGGUACGGGCAGGCUAGAGUGCGACAGGGGAGACUGGAAUUCCCGGUGUAACGGUGGAAUGUGUAGAUAUCGGGAAGAACACCAAUGGCGAAGGCAGGUCUCUGGGUCGUCACUGACGCUGAGGAGCGAAAGCGUGGGGAGCGAACAGGAUUAGAUACCCUGGUAGUCCACGCCGUAAACGGUGGAUGCUGGAUGUGGGGCCCCAUUC